This 1185-nucleotide ribosomal RNA is filed under the name Rhizobium sp. Rz5(2010). RNAcentral describes it as "bacterial SSU rRNA". The stretch from base 1 to 778 matches the Rfam family "Bacterial small subunit ribosomal RNA", at positions 42 to 873 of the family's 1533-position model. Lineage: Bacteria; Pseudomonadati; Pseudomonadota; Alphaproteobacteria; Hyphomicrobiales; Rhizobiaceae. The record is from RNAcentral.
GCGGGAUUCCUUGCGGUCAAGACAACGACAUGUCCAGCGGGCGCUGGACUACCUGAUCGGGACACCGCUGAGUAUCGCGUGGGAACGUACCUUUUGGUUCGGAACAACCCAGGGAAACUUGGGCUAAUACCGGAUAAGCCCUUACGGGGAAAGAUUUAUCGCCGAAGGAUCUGCCCGCGUCUGAUUAGCUAGUUGGUGAGGUAAUGGCUCACCAAGGCGACGAUCAGUAGCUGGUCUGAGAGGAUGAUCAGCCACAUUGGGACUGAGACACGGCCCAAACUCCUACGGGAGGCAGCAGUGGGGAAUAUUGGACAAUGGGCGCAAGCCUGAUCCAGCCAUGCCGCGUGAGUGAUGAAGGCCCUAGGGUUGUAAAGCUCUUUUGUGCGGGAAGAUAAUGACGGUACCGCAAGAAUAAGCCCCGGCUAACUUCGUGCCACCAGCCGCGGUAAUACAAAUGGGGCUAGCGUUGCUCGGAAUCACUGGGCGUAUAGGGUGCGUAUGCGGGUCUUUAAGUCGGGGGUGAAAUCCUGGAGCUCAACUCCAGAACUGCCUUUGAUACUGAGGAUCUUGAGUUCUGGAGAGGUGAGAGGAACUGCGAGUGUAGAGGUGAAAUUCUUAGAUAUUCACAAGAACACCACUGGAGAAAGCGGUUCUCUGGGGCCGAUACUGACACUGAGGCGCAAAAGCGUGUGGAGCCAGACACCGAGUAUGAUACUACUCGGGGAGUCCUCCCCCCGCAAACAAUGAAUACGACCCAGUUAUUGGGGUUUACUCCUCUUAAUUGGCGGGAGCUAGGUACUGUUAUGCAUUACUUACGGGAGAGAGUAAUGAUCGCCAAAAUUCAGUCCUCUGAGCGUUGAUGAGCGGGGCCGCCCAUAGCGCCCGGAGGAUGCUGGUUUAAUUACUUCCGCAGCCAGCCUGAGAACUAUCCUUGCCCGUUCACUUUUCCUUUGGCAGGGGGAGCUGUCACCCAAGGAGGUGUUUCCUCUUACGGUUGCAUCGUGGACAGAAAGAUGCUGCAAAGGACUGGAGAUCCACCUCAGUGCGGGGAGAUACGCUGAUUUAGUUGCCCCCCAGACUCGUAAGCAACACUUCUUGUGUGUUCACGUGUGGGUUCACAUGGACAUGGGACACGUAUGACCAUGGGCAUGUGGUGCCAAAGUUAUAGUUCAAUGCCUCAUCUAG